Molecule: non-coding RNA, 74 nt
Organism: Ascaris suum (pig roundworm)
Lineage: Eukaryota; Metazoa; Nematoda; Chromadorea; Rhabditida; Ascarididae
Source: Rfam
GCCUGAGUAGCGCAGUCGGUUAGCGCGUCAGUCUCAUAAUCUAAAGGUCGUGAGUUCGAGCCUCACCUGGGGCA